UCGGGAAUUUUGGGCAAUGGGCGAAAGCCUGAUCCAGCCAUGCCGCGUGAGUGACGAAGGUCUUCGGAUUGUAAAGCUCUUUUGGCGGGGACGAUAAUGACGGUACCCGCAGAAUAAGCCCCGGCUAACUUCGUGCCAGCAGCCGCGGUAAUACGAAGGGGGCUAGCGUUGUUCGGAAUUACUGGGCGUAAAGCGCACGUAGGCGGAUUUGUAAGUCAGGGGUGAAAUCCCGGGGCUCAACCUCGGAACUGCCCUUGAUACUGCAAAUCUCGAGUCCGAUAGAGGUGAGUGGAAUUCCUAGUGUAGAGGUGAAAUUCGUAGAUAUUAGGAAGAACACCAGUGGCGAAGGCGGCUCACUGGAUCGGUACUGACGCUGAGGUGCGAAAGCGUGGGGAGCAAACAGGAUUAGAUACCCCUGUAGUCCCUGAGCGGGCUGGCAAGGCGCAU
RNAcentral lists this ribosomal RNA (447 nucleotides) under uncultured bacterium. RNAcentral describes it as "bacterial SSU rRNA". It matches the Rfam family "Bacterial small subunit ribosomal RNA", at positions 355 to 825 of the family's 1533-position model. The record is from RNAcentral.